This 497-nucleotide ribosomal RNA is filed under the name uncultured bacterium. RNAcentral describes it as "partial 16S ribosomal RNA". It matches the Rfam family "Bacterial small subunit ribosomal RNA", at positions 28 to 507 of the family's 1533-position model. The record is from RNAcentral.
GAUGAACGCUGGCGGCGUGCCUAAUACAUGCAAGUCGAGCGAACGGACGAGAAGCUUGCUUCUCUGAUGUUAGCGGCGGACGGGUGAGUAACACGUGGAUAACCUACCUAUAAGACUGGGAUAACUUCGGGAAACCGGAGCUAAUACCGGAUAAUAUUUUGAACCGCAUGGUUCAAAAGUGAAAGACGGUCUUGCUGUCACUUAUAGAUGGAUCCGCGCUGCAUUAGCUAGUUGGUAAGGUAACGGCUUACCAAGGCAACGAUGCAUAGCCGACCUGAGAGGGUGAUCGGCCACACUGGAACUGAGACACGGUCCAGACUCCUACGGGAGGCAGCAGUAGGGAAUCUUCCGCAAUGGGCGAAAGCCUGACGGAGCAACGCCGCGUGAGUGGUGAAGGUCUUCGGAUCGUAAAACCCUGUUAUUAGGGAAGAACAUAUGUGUAAGUAACUGUGCACAUCUUGACGGUACCUAAUCAGAAAGCCACGGCUAACUACGUG